This is a non-coding RNA of Dermatophagoides farinae (American house dust mite), 429 nucleotides long. Lineage: Eukaryota; Metazoa; Arthropoda; Arachnida; Sarcoptiformes; Pyroglyphidae. The record is from RefSeq and is a predicted model, not a curated record.
AUUUUUUCUGUGUUUUUGUUCCCGUGAUCUAUGAUCUACUCAUCGUUUGAAAAUGGAGCAUUUACGAUAUUGCAGAAAGCCACAGCGGUUGACGAUUCAAUGUUGAAUGUCUUCUUGCGAUGAACCCACAAGGUUAUCCUAUAGGAUCUAUAGACACAAACUUGGAUUAAACAUUGGAUCGAUUAUCAUGUUCAGUCGCAAUAUUGAACCACAAAGUGGUUUGCUCAAUGGCACGGGUUUAUUUGUAAAUAGACGCAGCAUUGAAGCUCGAAUAUUGACAAGGAGGCUAUGAUUCAUUUUGCAGCAAAACGAUCGAGAUCCUAAGCUACCAUUUAAAUUGACGAUUUCCUGUCGUAUUGGCUUUUGCUUUGACAAUUAAUGUUAAAAAUAAAAAAAAAGUAAAUAAGUGUGUACCUUCCUACAACAGUA